GAUGAACGCUGGCGGCGUGCCUAAUACAUGCAAGUCGAGCGAACGGACGAGAAGCUUGCUUCUCUGAUGUUAGCGGCGGACGGGUGAGUAACACGUGGAUAACCUACCUAUAAGACUGGGAUAACUUCGGGAAACCGGAGCUAAUACCGUAUAACAUGUUGAACCGCAUGGUUCAACAGUGAAAGACGGUCUUGCUGUCACUUAUAGAUGGAUCCGCGCCGCAUUAGCUAGUUGGUAAGGUAACGGCUUACCAAGGCAACGAUGCGUAGCCGACCUGAGAGGGUGAUCGGCCACACUGGAACUGAGACACGGUCCAGACCCCUACGGGAGGCAGCAGUAGGGAAUCUUCCGCAAUGGGCGAAAGCCUGACGGAGCAACGCCGCGUGAGUGAAGAAGGUCUUCGGAUCGUAAAACUCUGUUAUUAGGGAAGAACAAAUGUGUAAGUAACUAUGCACGUCUUGACGGUACCUAAUCAGAAAGCCACGGCUAACUACGUGCCAGCAGCCGCGGUAAUACGUAGGUGGCGAGCGUUAUCCGGAAUUAUUGGGCGUAAAGCGCGCGUAGGCGGUUUUUUAAGUCUGAUGUGAAAGCCCACGGCUCAACCGUGGAGGGUCAUUGGAAACUGGAAAACUUGAGUGCAGAAGAGGAAAGUGGAAUUCCAUGUGUAGCGGUGAAAUGCGCAGAGAUAUGGAGGAACACCAGUGGCGAAGGCGACUUUCUGGUCUGUAACUGACGCUGAUGUGCGAAAGCGUGGGGAUCAAACAGGAUUAGAUACCCUGGUAGUCCACGCCGUAAACGAUGAGUGCUAAGUGUUAGGGGGUUUCCGCCCCUUAGUGCUGCAGCUAACGCAUUAAGCACUCCGCCUGGGGAGUACGACCGCAAGGUUGAAACUCGAAGGAAUUGACGGGGACCCGCACAAGCGGUGGAGCAUGUGGUUUAAUUCGAAGCAACGUGAAGAACCUUACCAAAUCUUGACAUCCUCUGACCCCUCUAGAGAUAGAGUUUUCCCCUUCGGGGGACAGAGUGACAGGUGGUGCAUGGUUGUCGUCAGCUCGUGUCGUGAGAUGUUGGGUUAAGUCCCGCAACGAGCGCAACCCUUAAGCUUAGUUGCCAUCAUUAAGUUGGGCACUCUAAGUUGACUGCCGGUGACAAACCGGAGGAAGGUGGGGAUGACGUCAAAUCAUCAUGCCCCUUAUGAUUUGGGCUACACACGUGCUACAAUGGACAAUACAAAGGGUAGCGAAACCGCGAGGUCAAGCAAAUCCCAUAAAGUUGUUCUCAGUUCGGAUUGUAGUCUGCAACUCGACUACAUGAAGCUGGAAUCGCUAGUAAUCGUAGAUCAGCAUGCUACGGUGAAUACGUUCCCGGGUCU
RNAcentral lists this ribosomal RNA (1372 nucleotides) under uncultured bacterium. RNAcentral describes it as "bacterial SSU rRNA". It matches the Rfam family "Bacterial small subunit ribosomal RNA", at positions 28 to 1381 of the family's 1533-position model. The record is from RNAcentral.